Non-coding RNA from Bombyx mori (domestic silkworm), 74 nucleotides. The record is from Rfam. Lineage: Eukaryota; Metazoa; Arthropoda; Insecta; Lepidoptera; Bombycidae.
UUAAAUCAAAUUUGUAUGGAGUUGGAACCUUUGCCGCUAGGGGCACUGUUCCAACUGCAUACAAAUUUGAGUUA